CAGACUUGUUUGGCCAAUGCCCCUAGUUCUCACUUUUCUUUCUCCAAAGAAAAAAAUCAGAAAAGCAAAACCAGAGCAAACCAAACAUAGGUUAGAGCUAAUGAGAAGUACAGGAUGUCUGGUUUCAACUUUUAAAAGAUGACCACUAAAUUAGAUUGUAACUUCAGAGAGGAAGGAAAAUUAAGACUAUCGAUGAAUUCUUUGUCUUUAGCAGUGCCAAGAAAGCAGAGAAAAAAAGAAUCCGCAGAAGAGAAGAGACCUAGAGAAGUUGCUUAGUCCUCCCCCGCGGGAGGGCUGUACCUCAAAAAUGCCAUAUUGGAGGGACGUCCAGUUCUCCUAGGUUUCCAGGGAAACUCUGUCCAAGUUGUGGAUAUGUCAUUGGUUUGUUACCCUCUUUAUUCACUGGUCUUCUCUGUCUCAUACCACAAUGGCAAACCCAGAGAGAUGGACCGACCUAGUUGGCCUGGUGAUCAGGUUGCUACUAAUGAAGAUCUGCCUGCCAAACCUGCCUUCCUCGAAAUAUCCCUUCAUGUGAAAGCAUUAUGAGAAAGGGUAAAUCUAAUUGUAUACUAUAAUAGUGGCAGUAGGUGAGUUUACGUCACACACGCUAGGAAACUGCUUUAAUCUUUCGACAUCUCUCUCUUUCCAAAUCAUGCACGCAUUCAUUCCAUCAUCAAACAUUUAUUGAAAAUCUACACACCAGACACUGUUCUAGGCCCUGGGGAUAAGAAGUAAUGAAAACAACUGUCCCCUAGGAGUCUGCACUCUAGUUGAGGGAGGUGCUGGCUAGCCUCUGUUUACCCUCCAGGUCCAUCUUUGCCCUUUUCUGUGCCCCAGGAGGCUAGCCCCGCACUCUACUGUGCCUUGUCCUCUGGGAGGGUGAUGGAAGGUAGGGAGAGUGGGAGAUCCCAGCGGGAGGUUGUAGUAUGGAAGCACUGGAGAGCUAGGCAUUUUCUCCCCGCCAACUCCUUCCAGGCUGCAGUUUUGGCAGUGGUUGUGUUCCUGCCCUCUAGCCACAGAUCCUGGGGGAUCCCCCUCUCCCAUAGCCACAGAUCUUGGCAGGUUCCUCUGACACCUCUCUUACCUCCCCACCCUUCUUGACCCUUUUUACUUAAUGAGAGGCAACCCAUGGCUGCUCAAUGCUGUCGGUUCUAUGUUGACUUAACUGUUCUUACCUCUUCUGUUACCCUUUGAGAAUGUCACUUCUUUUCUGCCAGGACCUUGACUGAUACAGAAAUACAGAAAAUAAACAAACAAAUGAGUUAUA
Molecule: long non-coding RNA, 1267 nt
Organism: Homo sapiens (human)
Lineage: Eukaryota; Metazoa; Chordata; Mammalia; Primates; Hominidae
Exons: 3
Source: RefSeq, a predicted model, not a curated record